CGAUGCGGGUUACUACUUGUAGUAUUGCCUGCACGUUCUUGUAUAUUUAGUUGCAAGAUGUUGUCGGCGUGCACUUCUUUCCUAGUAGGACGUCGCGACCCGUUGGGUGUCGGUCUACGGCCCAAGUGAUAGCCUUUAAUGUAAUUUAAAAAUCAUUGAAGAUCCUUGGUGUUUUCUGACCGGCUACUCGGCGGUACUCGUUACGGUAUUUAGCCGCUAAAUUAUUAGCGUCCAUGUCCGUCACAAGCGAGGCCAAUUUACUGAUAGUGCGGACCUAGUGCUGUCGUUGGUAUUGGCCAGCUGUUGGUUGUACGUGAUUCUGGGACUGGCUAAAAUUAAUUACCGGUNGGCGAUGCUACUGCUUUGGGUACUUUCAGGACCCGUCUUGAAACACGGACCAAGGAGUCUAACAUGUGCGCAAGUCAUUGGGAUUUUUUNNUANUUAAACCUAAAGGCGU
Molecule: ribosomal RNA, 458 nt
Filed under: Aleiodes damus
Lineage: Eukaryota; Metazoa; Arthropoda; Insecta; Hymenoptera; Braconidae
Description: LSU rRNA
Source: RNAcentral